UACGGGAGGCAGCAGUGGGGAAUAUUGCACAAUGGGCGCAAGCCUGAUGCAGCCAUGCCGCGUGUAUGAAGAAGGCCUUCGGGUUGUAAAGUACUUUCAGCGGGGAGGAAGGCGAUGUGGUUAAUAACCGCGUCGAUUGACGUUACCCGCAGAAGAAGCACCGGCUAACUCCGUGCCAGCAGCCGCGGUAAUACGGAGGGUGCAAGCGUUAAUCGGAAUUACUGGGCGUAAAGCGCACGCAGGCGGUCUGUUAAGUCAGAUGUGAAAUCCCCGGGCUUAACCUGGGAACUGCAUUUUGAAACUGGCAGGCUUGAGUCUCGUAGAGGGGGUAGAAUUCCAGGUGUAGCGGUGAAAUGCGUAGAGAUCUGGAGGAAUACCGGUGGCGAAGGCGGCCCCUGGGACGAAGACUGACGCUCAGGGUGCGAAAGCGUGGGGAGCAAACAGGAUUAGAUACC
This 455-nucleotide ribosomal RNA is filed under the name uncultured bacterium. RNAcentral's name for it is "bacterial SSU rRNA". It matches the Rfam family "Bacterial small subunit ribosomal RNA", at positions 340 to 786 of the family's 1533-position model. The record is from RNAcentral.